RNAcentral lists this ribosomal RNA (207 nucleotides) under uncultured bacterium. RNAcentral describes it as "partial 16S ribosomal RNA". It matches the Rfam family "Bacterial small subunit ribosomal RNA", at positions 568 to 774 of the family's 1533-position model. The record is from RNAcentral.
UGCGUAGGUGGUUGAAUGAGUUGGGUGUGAAAGUCCUGGGCUUAACCUGGGGAUUGCGCUUAAUACUGUUUAGCUAGAGUACUGUAGAGGGAGGUGGAAUUUCCAGUGUAGCGGUGAAAUGCGUAGAUAUUGGAAGGAACAUCAGUGGCGAAGGCGACUUUCUGGACAGAUACUGACACUGAGGCACGAAAGCAUGGGGAGCAAACA